This 71-nucleotide transfer RNA is filed under the name Marmota monax (woodchuck). RNAcentral's name for it is "tRNA.Ala". It matches the Rfam family "tRNA". From Rfam's summary of the family: Transfer RNA (tRNA) molecules are approximately 80 nucleotides in length. The record is from RNAcentral. Lineage: Eukaryota; Metazoa; Chordata; Mammalia; Rodentia; Sciuridae.
GGGGUUGUGGCUCAGCGGUAGAGUGCUCUCCUUGCAUGUGCGAGACCCUGGGUUCGACCCUCAGCACCACA